Molecule: ribosomal RNA, 354 nt
Filed under: uncultured bacterium
Lineage: Bacteria
Description: partial 16S ribosomal RNA
Rfam family: Bacterial small subunit ribosomal RNA
Source: RNAcentral
CCUACGGGGGGCAGCAGUCGAGAAUCAUUCACAAUGGGGGAAACCCUGAUGGGGCGACGCCGCGUGGGGGAAUGAAGGUCUUCGGAUUGGAAACCCCUGUCAUGUGGGAGCAAAUUAAAAAGAGAGUACCACAAGAGGAAGAGACGGCGAACUCUGGGCCAGCAGCCGCGGUAAUACAGAGGGAUCAAGCGUUGUUCGGAAUCCCUGGGCGUAAAGAGUGCGUAGGCUGUUUCGUAAGGCGUGUGUGAAAGGCGCGGGCUCCACCCGCGGACGGCACAUGAGACUGCGAGACUAGCGUACUGGUGGGUGAACCUGAUUUCUCGUUGUCGCCGUGUACUGCGUAGAUAUCGAGAG